CCCAGACGGGCUUGGAAUGAACUGUGCAGCAGGAGAUAAGCUUGAACUCAGAACCUCUUGCUUCUUCCACUGAGUACUGGGAUCACAGGCACGUCCCAUCAUGCCAUCAGUUUAUCUUAUGUGCUAGGGAUUGAAGCCAGGGCUUUGUGAAAGCUGGGCAUUCUAAGAGGUCAUCCACACCGCCGGGAUGAAUUCUGGAAACUGCACAGAAACUAUAGAGUCCUUUGAGAUUGAUCAGACCUUGCCACUCUCCAGAAGCAAAAUGGGUGCUAACCCCUCAACUGGUGAACCCACUAAGACCCAACUAAGACCAUCAAUGCUCCUUGGGGGCCAUUCUCUGGACCCUCAGCCCUUCCCUAAUCCCUGGAGAGACCUUUGAAGCUACUCAGCAUUUGCAUGAUCACUCACUCACUCACUCAGCAUCCCUGACCCCUUCACCUUGACCUCUGUGAUGCUCCUGUUUUCUGCCAGUUUGUGUUCAGGUCUUUUGGAGUAGUCCAGGCUCGGAACCCAGAAUCCUCCUGCCUCUUCCUCUCCAGCGAUGGCAGUGUGUUUACCUAAUGUAGUGAGAAGAUCAGCACUCAGUGUACAAGUGGAGACAGUAGCUCCUGACAGCCCAUGAUGCACACGUGGAAGGGAUCUGAGGAGAAUGCUGCUCCACAGAGCGCUUCGGGAUGUAAAACACAUGUCUGUAAUAUCUUACAGGCUCAUGACUGCAACUUAUCAGGAGGCCAGAUUGCCUUCCCUGGCCUAGGUUUCUUUCUAGGGGACUGCAUUACUAUUUAAUUCCUCUUAGCAAAUGCAACAGGAAACUCUUCAAACUGAAGGCAUGGUGAAUCUCAGCUACUGAAGACUGAUGCAAGACCCUUACUCUUCUCACUCCCUCCCGGAAAUGCAGGAAAGACCUGAGUGCUAAUGUUCUAGUGCAGAACAUCAAAGCAUACUUUGGCUUGAGGCAGGGCACCUCUCUUAUUGAAUAGUUUGCUUCUCAGAAGGGGUAGAACUAAUAUACCUCCCCUUUUAGGUCUGUCGUUGAGUGGUUUCCCUGUGCUUCGUUUAGUUGCUCCCUAAUUGAUGAAAGGAGUGCAUCUUUAGCUCACAGGAAGGACACAAACCUGAGGACUCCCAUCUGUCUUAAACAUAGUUCAACAAGCCCUCUCAAACUACAGUGAGGGUUGGGGGAAGCAAGCUUAGUCUUCUGACCCUAUAAGGACACUAGGGAAUCUUAUAAUUUCAAACCUUCAGGAAUUCUCCAGUGUUCAGAGGCUACUCCACACUUUCUUGCCCAUAUCCCAUGGAACUGCCUUUCUACUGCCCUGGCAAUUUCCAAUUGCCGCAAUAAAAUACCUUGACAAAGCAACUUAAAGAAGAAUGGGUUUAUUUUAGCUCAAAAUUCCAGGUUACAGUCCAUGACUGCAGCAGGAAUGUAAAGCAGAUCCAGAGUCAAGAGGAGAAAGAGCUCAGAGAUGGCGGCACACUCCUUUAAUUCCAGCACUCAGGAGGCAGAGCCAU
Long non-coding RNA from Meriones unguiculatus (Mongolian gerbil), 1512 nucleotides. RefSeq lists it as uncharacterized. NCBI's taxonomy places the organism in Eukaryota, Metazoa, Chordata, Mammalia, Rodentia, Muridae. The transcript is spliced from 3 exons. The record is from RefSeq and is a predicted model, not a curated record.